CACUGUAACAGUCACUGAAGUUUGCUCUAAUCACUCUACCAGGCUACUUGGCAUUUCCUGGGCAUGCAUGAGAGUCAGCUAAGCCAAGGAUGGGUUCCAGUGUGAUGUAAGUCAUCCAGGCUGCGUGCCUCACUAUGAUGAUGCAACUGAAAAGCUCAAACAGCCAUUAUCAAGAUGACAAGGAUGAGUUUUAAGAUGGAGAGGGCCAUCCACAAACUCUCUCCAAGCCUCCACAGAAUAAUGGAGAAAAUGAAACACAUUUCAGGAAGUCUGAUUUUACUUUGCAGGCUCUGGUUAGGUUGCACAUGUGAGUGGUCAACACCUCCCCCCUCCAUUGAUGUGUAAAGUACCAAUCUAGCAUUAUUAAUUUGUAUGGUAAUCAAAAGGAAGUCACAUUUUUACCUUAUGAACACAAUGAAAUUAAAGUCUAGCAUCAUUUCUAACAUCUGAUUUUACAGCUGGCAUUUACAUCUAAUUUUCAUUUGCUAAUUUCUUCCAGGAGGCUGCUGUAUAAUUUCAAAUACAAUUCUAUUACAGACAAAAUAAGUAAUCAAGUCUCAGCACCAGCAUCUUCCACACAGCUUGAGUCUGAUGGAAGCCUGCUGAUAAUGGGGCAAAGCAAGAAUAAUGGAUGGUAUUGAAUGUCCACACAUACACCUUCCCCUGCAGCAACUUUUAUGAAUGCAUGCAGAGGGGAACAAUCCUUAGAAGCUCCCAUGUGUCCAAAAAGAUUGCUCAGGAGGCCUGGGUAAGUCUUCAAAGCAGAAUUUUGGGGGAUGGCAGGAGGGAGAAACCAAAGACCCCAAUGCUAAUAGAAAACAUUUUAGAGUUAGGCUCAUAUCUGUUCCCCUCUUCUCCAAAUGUAUAGAAGUUAUCUAUCUAAAAGAGUACACACAUUUUUAACACCAGCUGAUUCAAAUAAAAUAUACUGUUGCAGCUUCUCGUCAAUAAGUUAUUGCUUGAUGAAAUAGAUUUCUGGCUAGGGUUGCAGCACUUAAAUACACGGUAGGGUUACUCACAAGGCAGUGUUUAAGGGUUUGCCACCUAUGCCAUCUCAUACCCACCCAACUUGUUCCCGUCUU
This is a non-coding RNA of Pogona vitticeps (central bearded dragon), 1082 nucleotides long. NCBI's taxonomy places the organism in Eukaryota, Metazoa, Chordata, Lepidosauria, Squamata, Agamidae. The record is from RefSeq and is a predicted model, not a curated record.